Molecule: ribosomal RNA, 465 nt
Filed under: Vreelandella stevensii
Lineage: Bacteria; Pseudomonadati; Pseudomonadota; Gammaproteobacteria; Oceanospirillales; Halomonadaceae
Description: partial 16S ribosomal RNA
Rfam family: Bacterial small subunit ribosomal RNA
Source: RNAcentral
CCUACGGGAGGCAGCAGUGGGGAAUAUUGGACAAUGGGGGCAACCCUGAUCCAGCCAUGCCGCGUGUGUGAAGAAGGCCCUCGGGUUGUAAAGCACUUUCAGUGAGGAAGAACGCCUGGUGGUUAAUACCCAUCAGGAAAGACAUCACUCACAGAAGAAGCACCGGCUAACUCCGUGCCAGCAGCCGCGGUAAUACGGAGGGUGCGAGCGUUAAUCGGAAUUACUGGGCGUAAAGCGCGCGUAGGUGGCUUGAUAAGCCGGUUGUGAAAGCCCCGGGCUCAACCUGGGAACGGCAUCCGGAACUGUCAAGCUAGAGUGCAGGAGAGGAAGGUAGAAUUCCCGGUGUAGCGGUGAAAUGCGUAGAGAUCGGGAGGAAUACCAGUGGCGUAGGCGGCCUUCUGGACUGACACUGACACUGAGGUGCGAAAGCGUGGGUAGCAAACAGGAUUAGAUACCCCAGUAGUC